This 103-nucleotide non-coding RNA is filed under the name uncultured Mamiellales. The record is from RNAcentral. Lineage: Eukaryota; Viridiplantae; Chlorophyta; Mamiellophyceae; Mamiellales.
AUCCAGCUGCUUCGUUUGGUCCGAAACAAGUUCGCUGGAGUGACAAAGAUGAUGCUGCACGUGGAAGCCCGCUCGUGAAAGUCACUCGUGAUCCGGUAUCGAU